GCCUACGGGGGGCAGCAGUGAGGAAUAUUGGUCAAUGGGCGAGAGCCUGGACCAGCCAAGUCGCGUGAGGGAAGACGGUCCUAUGGAUUGUAAACCUCUUUUGUCGGGGAGCAAAAAGGCCUCGUGAGGCCACAAGUGAGAGUACCCGAAGAAAAAGCAUCGGCUAACUCCGUGCCAGCAGCCGCGGUAAUACGGAGGAUGCGAGCGUUAUCCGGAUUUAUUGGGUUUAAAGGGAGCGUAGAUGGGUUGUUAAGUCAGUUGUGAAAGUUUGCGGCUCAACCGUAAAAUUGCAAUUGAUACUGGCA
Molecule: ribosomal RNA, 305 nt
Filed under: uncultured bacterium
Lineage: Bacteria
Description: bacterial SSU rRNA
Rfam family: Bacterial small subunit ribosomal RNA
Source: RNAcentral